RNAcentral lists this non-coding RNA (30 nucleotides) under Mus musculus (house mouse). Lineage: Eukaryota; Metazoa; Chordata; Mammalia; Rodentia; Muridae. The record is from RNAcentral.
UAGAACACAUGACCUAGCUGAGGAUGACCC